AGAGUUUGAUCAUGGCUCAGAACGAACGCUGGCGGCAGGCCUAACACAUGCAAGUCGAGCGCCCCCGCAAGGGGGAGCGGCGGACGGGUGAGUAACGCGUGGGAAUUUUCCUCAAGGUACGGAACAACUCAGGGAAACUUGGGCUAAUACCGUAUGAUGUCUAGCGACCAAAGAUUUAUCGCCUUGGGAUAAGCCCGCGUCAGAUUAGGUAGUUGGUGGGGUAACGGCCUACCAAGCCUGCGAUCUGUAGCUGGUCUGAGAGGACGAUCAGCCACACUGGGACUGAGACACGGCCCAGACUCCUACGGGAGGCAGCAGUGGGGAAUCUUGCGCAAUGGGCGAAAGCCUGACGCAGCCAUGCCGCGUGAAUGAUGAAGGUCUUAGGAUUGUAAAGUUCUUUCGCCCGUGACGAUGAUGACGGUAACGGAGAAGAGCCC
RNAcentral lists this ribosomal RNA (437 nucleotides) under uncultured Phenylobacterium sp. RNAcentral's name for it is "bacterial SSU rRNA". It matches the Rfam family "Bacterial small subunit ribosomal RNA", at positions 8 to 492 of the family's 1533-position model. The record is from RNAcentral. Lineage: Bacteria; Pseudomonadati; Pseudomonadota; Alphaproteobacteria; Caulobacterales; Caulobacteraceae.